GUGACCUCAAAUCAGGUAGGACUACCCGCUGAACUUAAGCAUAUCAAUAAGCGGAGGAAAAGAAACUAACAAGGAUUCCCCUAGUAACUGCGAGUGAAGCGGGAAAAGCUCAAAUUUAAAAUCUGGCAGCCUUUGGUUGUCCGAGUUGUAAUCUAGAGAAGUGUUAUCCGCGCUGGACCGUGUACAAGUCUCCUGGAAUGGAGCGUCAUAGAGGGUGAGAAUCCCGUCUUUGACACGGACUGCCAGGGCUUUGUGAUGCGCUCUCAAAGAGUCGAGUUGUUUGGGAAUGCAGCUCAAAAUGGGUGGUAAAUUCCAUCUAAAGCUAAAUAUUGGCGAGAGACCGAUAGCGAACAAGUACCGUGAGGGAAAGAUGAAAAGAACUUUGGAAAGAGAGUUAAACAGUACGUGAAAUUGCUGAAAGGGAAACGCUUGAAGUCAGUCGCGUUGUCCAGGGAUCAACCUUGCUUUUGCUUGGUGCACUUUCUGGUUGACGGGUCAGCAUCAAUUUUGACUAUUGGAAAAAGAUUAGGGGAAUGUGGCAUCUUCGGAUGUGUUAUAGCCCUUGGUUGCAUACAAUGGUUGGGAUUGAGGAACUCAGCACGCCGCAAGGCCGGGUUUUAACC
This 623-nucleotide ribosomal RNA is filed under the name Cortinarius laetus. RNAcentral describes it as "eukaryotic LSU rRNA". It matches the Rfam family "Eukaryotic large subunit ribosomal RNA", at positions 1 to 618 of the family's 3401-position model. Lineage: Eukaryota; Fungi; Basidiomycota; Agaricomycetes; Agaricales; Cortinariaceae. The record is from RNAcentral.